This 429-nucleotide ribosomal RNA is filed under the name Bacillota bacterium. RNAcentral's name for it is "Firmicutes bacterium partial 16S ribosomal RNA". It matches the Rfam family "Bacterial small subunit ribosomal RNA", at positions 355 to 776 of the family's 1533-position model. Lineage: Bacteria; Bacillati; Bacillota. The record is from RNAcentral.
UAGGGAAUCUUCCGCAAUGGGCGAAAGCCUGACGGAGCAACGCCGCGUGAGUGAUGAAGGGUUUCGGCUCGUAAAACUCUGUUAUUAGGGAAGAACAAAUGUGUAAGUAACUGUGCACAUCUUGACGGUACCUAAUCAGAAAGCCACGGCUAACUACGUGCCAGCAGCCGCGGUAAUACGUAGGUGGCAAGCGUUAUCCGGAAUUAUUGGGCGUAAAGCGCGCGUAGGCGGUUUCUUAAGUCUGAUGUGAAAGCCCACGGCUCAACCGUGGAGGGUCAUUGGAAACUGGGAAACUUGAGUGCAGAAGAGGAAAGUGGAAUUCCAUGUGUAGCGGUGAAAUGCGCAGAGAUAUGGAGGAACACCAGUGGCCAAGGCGACUUUCUGGUCUGUAACUGACGCUGAUGUGCGAAAGCGUGGGGAUCAAACAGG